Molecule: unclassified non-coding RNA, 242 nt
Filed under: uncultured fungus
Lineage: Eukaryota; Fungi
Description: partial contains 5.8S ribosomal RNA, internal transcribed spacer 2, and large subunit ribosomal RNA
Source: RNAcentral
AACGCACAUUGCGCCCUUUGGUAUUCCGAAGGGCAUGCCUGCUCGAGCGUCAUUUAAACUCUCAAGCCCAGCUUGGUCUUGGGCGCGGUCGCGCGCGACCCGCCCGCAACUCGUUUGGCGGCACCGUCCGGCUCCUGGCGUAACAGUUUUCCUCGCCUCGAAGCUCCGGCGCGGUGCCCGGCCACGGAACAUCUGACCUAAAGUUUGACCUCGGAUCAGGUAGGGAUACCCGCUGAACUUAA